Molecule: ribosomal RNA, 545 nt
Filed under: uncultured Bacteroidota bacterium
Lineage: Bacteria; Pseudomonadati; Bacteroidota
Description: bacterial SSU rRNA
Rfam family: Bacterial small subunit ribosomal RNA
Source: RNAcentral
GGCUAACUCCGUGCCAGCAGCCGCGGUAAUACGGAGGAUCCAAGCGUUAUCCGGAUUUAUUGGGUUUAAAGGGUGCGUAGGUGGCCUGUUAAGUCAGGGGUGAAAGACGGUAGCUUAACUAUCGCAGUGCCCUUGAUACUGAUGGGCUUGAAUGAACUAGAGGUAAGCGGAAUGUGACAAGNCNCGGUGAAAUGCAUAGAUAUGUCACAGAACACCAAUUGCGAAGGCAGCUUACUAUGGUUUUAUUGACACUGAGGCACGAAAGCGUGGGGAUCAAACAGGAUUAGAUACCCUGGUAGUCCACGCCCUAAACGAUGAAUACUCGAUGUUGGCGAUAUACGGUCAGCGUCUAAGCGAAAGCGUUAAGUAUUCCACCUGGGGAGUCGCCCGCAAGGGUGAAACUCAAAGGAAUUGACGGGGGCCCGCACAAGCGGAGGAGCAUGUGGUUUAAUUCGAUGAUACGCGAGGAACCUUACCCGGGCUUGAAAGUUAGUGAAUGAUCCAGAGACGGAUCAGUCCUUCGGGACACGAAACUAGGUGCUGCA